Molecule: ribosomal RNA, 492 nt
Filed under: uncultured bacterium
Lineage: Bacteria
Description: bacterial SSU rRNA
Rfam family: Bacterial small subunit ribosomal RNA
Source: RNAcentral
GAUCCUGGCUCAGAUUGAACGCUGGCGGAAUGCUUUACACAUGCAAGUCGAACGGUAGAGGGGGCAACCCCUCGAGAGUGGCGAACGGGUGAGUAAUAUAUCGGAACGUGCCCAGUCGUGGGGGAUAACGUAGCGAAAGUUACGCUAAUACCGCAUACGAUCUACGGAUGAAAGCGGGGGAUCGCAAGACCUCGCGCGAUUGGAGCGGCCGAUAUCAGAUUAGGUAGUUGGUGGGGUAAAGGCUCACCAAGCCAACGAUCUGUAGCUGGUCUGAGAGGACGACCAGCCACACUGGAACUGAGACACGGUCCAGACUCCUACGGGAGGCAGCAGUGGGGAAUUUUGGACAAUGGACGCAAGUCUGAUCCAGCCAUUCCGCGUGCAGGAUGAAGGCCCUCGGGUUGUAAACUGCUUUGUACGGAACGAAAAGGUUUCCAUUAAUACUGGGAGCUCAUGACGGUACCGUAAGAAUAAGCACCGGCUAACUACGUG